Molecule: ribosomal RNA, 440 nt
Filed under: uncultured bacterium
Lineage: Bacteria
Description: partial 16S ribosomal RNA
Rfam family: Bacterial small subunit ribosomal RNA
Source: RNAcentral
CCUACGGGCGGCAGCAGUGGGGAAUAUUGCACAAUGGGGGAAACCCUGAUGCAGCGACGCCGCGUGAGUGAAGAAGUAUCUCGGUACGUAAAGCUCUAUCAGCAGGGAAGAAAAUGACGGUACCUGACUAAGAAGCCCCGGCUAACUACGUGCCAGCAGCCGCGGUAAUACGUAGGGGGCAAGCGUUAUCCGGAUGUACGGGGUGUAACGGGAGCGUAGACGGCAGCGCAAGUCUGGAGGGAAAUCCCGGGGCUUAACCCCGGAACUGCUUUGGAAACUGGGCGGUGGGAGGGCAGGAGGGGGAAGCGGAAUUCCUAGGGUAGCGGUGAAAUGCGUAGAUAUGAGGAGGAACACCGGAGGCGAAGGCGGCGUACUGGACUGGAACUGACGGGGAGGCUCGAAAGCGUGGGGAGCAAACAGGAUUAGAUACCCGAGUAGUC